Molecule: ribosomal RNA, 564 nt
Filed under: Obelia geniculata (knotted thread hydroid)
Lineage: Eukaryota; Metazoa; Cnidaria; Hydrozoa; Leptothecata; Obeliidae
Description: partial large subunit ribosomal RNA
Rfam family: Bacterial large subunit ribosomal RNA
Source: RNAcentral
AAAACAUAGCCCUAGAAAAAAUCUAAGGUGUAACCUGCCCAGUGGUUUUAAUUUAUAAUCUAAUAUAUUAAAAAUAAAACUAAAAGGACGCGGUAACCUUGACCGUGAUAAUGUAGCAUAAUCACUCGCCAUUUAAUUGAUGGAUAGUAUGAAUGGUUGAACGAAUAUUCCACUGUCUUAAGAAGAAUUAAAAGAAAUUGAAAUAAUAGUUAAGAUGCUAUUUUAAACUGUAAGACGAAAAGACCCUAUAGAGCUUAACUAUAAUCUCUUUAUUCUUAAAUAAAAAAAACUUUAUUUCAUAAAGAGAUUGGUAGUUUAGUUGGGGCGACUAUCUUCUAAAAAUAACGAAGAUAAGCAACGUUAACAAAAAACUUAUUGUAUAAUAAAAAUAUUUAACAAUUAUAAAAAUAGGCUAUAGUGACCCGUUAAUUCAGAAAAAUAUGAUUAACGAUCAAUUAAUAAAAGCUACCUUAGGGAUAACAGGAUAAUUUCAUUUUAGAGUUCCCAUCGAAAAUGAAGUUUGUCACCUCUAUGUUGAAUUAAGAUAUCCUGGUAAUGCAGAAG